Molecule: non-coding RNA, 117 nt
Filed under: unidentified
Description: Delta proteobacterium MoCo sequence
Rfam family: Molybdenum/Tungsten riboswitch aptamer (Moco RNA motif)
Source: RNAcentral
AAUAGUUAUCGAUUACGAUUUCACGGCCCUAAGCUUCGGUAAGGGCCAUGAAACGAUAGGGUUGUUGAGGAAACAAGGCAGCCUCCCAUUGUGGAAAGUAAUCAGCCAUUGCAGCGU